UAGUGAUCAGAAGUGAGAAUGUUGACAUGAGUAGCGACAAACAGGGUGAGAGACCCUGUCGCCGAAAGUCCAAGGGUUCCUGCUUAAAGCUAAUCUGAGCAGGGUAAGCCGGCCCCUAAGGCGAGGCCGAAAGGCGUAGUCGGUGGGAACCAGGUUAAUAUUCCUGGGCCAGGAGAUGGUGACGGAUCGCAGAGGUAGUUCUUCCUUAUCGGAUUGGAAGGGCUGCUGAGCGGUUCCUGGAAAUAGCCCUCCACAAGACCGUACCCUAAACCGACACAGGUGGACUGGUAGAGAAUACCAAGGCGCUUGAGAGAACCACAUUUAAGGAACUCGGCAAAAUACCUCCGUAAGUUCGCGAGAAGGAGGCCCCGUUUGUACGCAAGUAUGGGCGGGGGGCACAAACCAGGGGGUGGCGACUGUUUACUAAAAACACAGGGCUCUGCGAAGCCGUAAGGCGACGUAUAGGGUCUGACGCCUGCCCGGUGCCGGAAGGUUAAAAGGAGAUGUGCAAGCAUUGAAUUGAAGCCCCGGUAAACGGCGGCCGUAACCAUAACGGUCCUAAGGUAGCGAAAUUCCUUGUCGGGUAAGUUCCGACCUGCACGAAUGGCGUAACGACUUCCCCGCUGUCUCAAAUGUGGACUCAGCGAAAUUGAAUUGUCUGUGAAGAUGCAGACUUCCCGCGGUUAGACGGAAAGACCCCAUGCACCUUUACUAUAGCUUCGCACUGGCAUCAGGAUUGUGAUGUGCAGGAUAGGUGGUAGGCAUUGAAACCGGGACGCCAGUUCCGGUGGAGCCAUCCUUGAGAUACCACCCUUCGCACUCUUGAUGUCUAACCGCGGCCCGUUAUCCGGGUCCGGGACCCUGCGUGGUGGGUAGUUUGACUGGGGCGGUCGCCUCCCAAAAAGUAACGGAGGCGCGCGAAGGUUGGCUCAGAGCGGUCGGAAAUCGCUCGUUGAGUGCAAUGGCAGAAGCCAGCCUGACUGCAAGACUGACAAGUCGAGCAGAGACGAAAGUCGGCCAUAGUGAUCCGGUGGUCCCGAGUGGAAGGGCCAUCGCUCAACGGAUAAAAGGUACGCUGGGGAUAACAGGCUGAUGAUGCCCAAGAGUCCAUAUCGACGGCAUCGUUUGGCACCUCGAUGUCGGCUCAUCUCAUCCUGGGGCUGGAGCAGGUCCCAAGGGUACGGCUGUUCGCCGUUUAAAGAGGUACGUGAGCUGGGUUUAGAACGUCGUGAGACAGUUCGGUCCCUAUCUGCCGUGGGUGUAGGAUACUUGAGAGGAGUUGCCCCUAGUACGAGAGGACCGGGGUGAACGUUCCACUGGUGGACCAGUUGUCGUGCCAACGGCAGUGCUGGGUAGCUAUGAACGGACAGGAUAAACGCUGAAGGCAUCUAAGCGUGAAGCCCCCCUCAAAACAAGGUAUCCCUUGAGAGCCGUGGAAGACCACCACGUCGAUAGGCCGGAGAUGUAAGUGCAGCAAUGCAUUCAGUUGACCGGUACUAAUGGCUCG
Molecule: ribosomal RNA, 1507 nt
Filed under: metagenome
Description: bacterial LSU rRNA
Rfam family: Bacterial large subunit ribosomal RNA
Source: RNAcentral